Molecule: long non-coding RNA, 197 nt
Organism: Siniperca chuatsi (mandarin fish)
Lineage: Eukaryota; Metazoa; Chordata; Actinopteri; Centrarchiformes; Sinipercidae
Exons: 2
Source: RefSeq, a predicted model, not a curated record
AAUGAUCAGUAUAACUGCUGAUACACUGAAGAAAACACAAGAUUUAAAGCAACAAGAUUAUGAUCUUAUAUUCUUCAAUAUAACCAAACACACAAAAUGAUCAUCUUAUUCCUAAGCAUUACUUUUAACACAAUUCUGGUUUCAGGUUCCUCUCUCAGCGACAAAGUCUACCAGACUCCAGCUGACAUGUACAAGAC